This 556-nucleotide ribosomal RNA is filed under the name Brevibacillus sp. KNF17. RNAcentral describes it as "bacterial SSU rRNA". It matches the Rfam family "Bacterial small subunit ribosomal RNA", at positions 352 to 919 of the family's 1533-position model. Lineage: Bacteria; Bacillati; Bacillota; Bacilli; Caryophanales; Paenibacillaceae. The record is from RNAcentral.
CAGGCCACUGGAUGCCGCGGAUUCGUAGGAGCAACGCCGCUGAACGAGAAGUUUCGGUUGAAAGUUUUGUGUCAGGGACGAUAAGUACCUUCGAUAGGGCGGUACCUUGACGGUACCUGACGAGAAAGCCACGGCUAACUACGUGCCAGCAGCCGCGGUAAUACGUAGGUGGCAAGCGUUGUCCGGAUUAUUGGGCGUAAAGCGCGCGCAGGCGGCUAUGUAAGUCUGGUGUUAAAGCCCGGGGCUCAACCCCGGUUCGCAUCGGAAACUGUGUAGCUUGAGUGCAGAAGAGGAAAGCGGUAUUCCACGUGUAGCGGUGAAAUGCGUAGAGAUGUGGAGGAACACCAGUGGCGAAGGCGGCUUUCUGGUCUGUAACUGACGCUGAGGCGCGAAAGCGUGGGGAGCAAACAGGAUUAGAUACCCUGGUAGUCCACGCCGUAAACGAUGAGUGCUAGGUGUUGGGGGUUUCAAUACCCUCAGUGCCGCAGCUAACGCAAUAAGCACUCCGCCUGGGGAGUACGCUCGCAAGAGUGAAACUCAAAGGAAUGACCCGGGG